AUGGGCAUUUGUUUAAUGGACGGCCAUGUGUAGUUGCAUAUGCCUCACCAUAUAGUGUCAAGAGAAUGGGUGAAGCUCAGUUGAAUAGAAACCAAAAUGCGGCCCAGCCAGCUGUUAAUCAACCACGAAGAGGGCCUGGAGGAACUGGAGAUGUGCCAGGUAAACCUAGCGGCGGCGGUGGAGGCGGAGGCAACAUGGCUAUAGGUGGGAACUAUCAAGGCAGUGGUGAUGGUCACAGAGGUUUUGGGAGAGGGAAUUGGGGUAGAGGUAAUGGUCAAGGAGGUAUGGGGAAUAGGGGGCCUAUGGGUCCAAUGAGAAACAGGGGUGGUGGAAUAGGUGGUCGUGGUUUAAUGGGUAACGGUAAUGGAUUUGCGCAGGGGAUUGGUGCCACUCCUCCAUUAUUACAUCCUCAAACCAUGAUGGGUCAGGGAUUCGAUCCUGCUUUUGGAGGGCCCAUGGGGAGAAUGGGUAGUUAUGGAGGAUUUCCUGGUGCGCCUGCCCCACCCUUUUCUGGAAUGUUAUCUUCAUUUGGACCUGUUGGAAGUGUUGGUUUGCCUGGUGUUGCUCCCCAUGUGAAUCCGGCAUUUUUUGGGAGAGGGAUGCCCAUGAAUGGUAUGGGUAUGAUGCCUGCUCCUGGAUUUGAGGGGCCUCAUAUGGGCACAUGGUCGGAUCCUAAUAUGGCUGGAUGGACAGGCGACGAG
Molecule: long non-coding RNA, 701 nt
Filed under: Olea europaea (common olive)
Lineage: Eukaryota; Viridiplantae; Streptophyta; Magnoliopsida; Lamiales; Oleaceae
Description: long non-coding RNA (OEUR_LNC009038)
Source: RNAcentral